RNAcentral lists this ribosomal RNA (420 nucleotides) under uncultured bacterium. RNAcentral describes it as "bacterial SSU rRNA". It matches the Rfam family "Bacterial small subunit ribosomal RNA", at positions 356 to 773 of the family's 1533-position model. The record is from RNAcentral.
GAGGAAUAUUGGUCAAUGGGCGCAAGCCUGAACCAGCCAUGCCGCGUGCAGGAAGACGGUCCUAUGGAUUGUAAACUGCUUUUAUACAGGAAGAAACCUCCCUACGUGUAGGGACUUGACGGUACUGUAGGAAUAAGGAUCGGCUAACUCCGUGCCAGCAGCCGCGGUAAUACGGAGGAUCCAAGCGUUAUCCGGAAUCAUUGGGUUUAAAGGGUCCGUAGGCGGUCUUAUAAGUCAGUGGUGAAAGCCCAUCGCUCAACGAUGGAACUGCCAUUGAUACUGUAAGACUUGAAUGCUUAGGAAGUAACUAGAAUAUGUAGUGUAGCGGUGAAAUGCUUAGAUAUUACAUGGAAUACCAAUUGCGAAGGCAGGUUACUACUAAGUGAUUGACGCUGAUGGACGAAAGCGUGGGGAGCGAAC